Molecule: long non-coding RNA, 575 nt
Organism: Aquila chrysaetos chrysaetos
Lineage: Eukaryota; Metazoa; Chordata; Aves; Accipitriformes; Accipitridae
Exons: 3
Source: RefSeq, a predicted model, not a curated record
GGCGGGGCGGGGGGGGAGCUCAAGAAGGUUUUUCCUCCUGUGAAGCUUCAGGCAGCCACAGGAAUGUAUCUCUAGGAACAGGCUGGCUGCAUAAACUGGAUAGAACAAGUUCAGGGCAGCGUUGCAGCUUGCUCUGACGCCAUGUCGGAGGGGGAGAGGGAGGGAGAGUUUCAGCUACAGAGGCAAGCAGCUGCUGCGGGGCCGUCGCUUGCACCCUCGAAAACAGCAAGGCAGAGUGCAAAUUCUGGUGGAGUCCGCAGCAGAAAAGGCGGGGGACAGCUACAGAAAGCAGAGCGGCAGGCUUUUGUUUCUGUAGCUGCUGCAUCUCGAAUCCGUGUGCUGGAGCCGCGUUUGUUGCCAAGGCUUGGCUGUGGUUGUGAAGAAGCUUGGAGUCUGUAUCCUCCAACGAAAGGACUUGCCUGAACUUGAAAGUUAAUUCAGAUUAAGGUAGGACGUGAAACUACAGCACAACUGUUGAUCCUGAAGAACUGCAACUAUCCCAUUGAUGAUACGACCUGAUGCACCAAGAAUCUAAAUGACAUGCCCAAACCUACAAAAGCCAGUAGACAGAAGGA